GAUGAACGCUGGCGGCGUGCUUAACACAUGCAAGUCGAACGGAAAGGCCCAAGCUUGCUUGGGUACUCGAGUGGCGAACGGGUGAGUAACACGUGGGUGAUCUGCCCUGCACUUCGGGAUAAGCCUGGGAAACUGGGUCUAAUACCGGAUAGGACCACUUCUUGGAUGUUGUGGUGGAAAGUUUUUCGGUGUGGGAUGAGCUCGCGGCCUAUCAGCUUGUUGGUGGGGUAAUGGCCUACCAAGGCGUCGACGGGUAGCCGGCCUGAGAGGGUGUACGGCCACAUUGGGACUGAGAUACGGCCCAGACUCCUACGGGAGGCAGCAGUGGGGAAUAUUGCACAAUGGGCGCAAGCCUGAUGCAGCGACGCCGCGGGGGGGAUGACGGCCUUCGGGUUGUAAACUCCUUUCGCUAGGGACGAAGCUUAUUUUGUGACGGUACCUGGAGAAGAAGCACCGGCUAACUACGUG
RNAcentral lists this ribosomal RNA (468 nucleotides) under uncultured bacterium. RNAcentral describes it as "partial 16S ribosomal RNA". It matches the Rfam family "Bacterial small subunit ribosomal RNA", at positions 28 to 507 of the family's 1533-position model. The record is from RNAcentral.